UAGGGAAUCUUCGGCAAUGGACGGAAGUCUGACCGAGCAACGCCGCGUGAGUGAAGAAGGUUUUCGGAUCGUAAAGCUCUGUUGUUAGAGAAGAACGUUGGUAGGAGUGGAAAAUCUACCAAGUGACGGUAACUAACCAGAAAGGGACGGCUAACUACGUGCCAGCAGCCGCGGUAAUACGUAGGUCCCGAGCGUUGUCCGGAUUUAUUGGGCGUAAAGCGAGCGCAGGCGGUUCUUUAAGUCUGAAGUUAAAGGCAGUGGCUUAACCAUUGUACGCUUUGGAAACUGGAGGACUUGAGUGCAGAAGGGGAGGGUGGAAUUCCAUGUGUAGCGGUGAAAUGCGUAGAUAUAUGGAGGAACACCGGUGGCGAAAGCGGGUCUCUGGUCUGUAACUGACGCUGAGGCUCGAAAGCGUGGGGAGCAAACAGG
RNAcentral lists this ribosomal RNA (429 nucleotides) under Bacillota bacterium. RNAcentral's name for it is "Firmicutes bacterium partial 16S ribosomal RNA". It matches the Rfam family "Bacterial small subunit ribosomal RNA", at positions 355 to 776 of the family's 1533-position model. Lineage: Bacteria; Bacillati; Bacillota. The record is from RNAcentral.